Molecule: unclassified non-coding RNA, 239 nt
Filed under: Ambisporaceae sp.
Lineage: Eukaryota; Fungi; Glomeromycota; Glomeromycetes; Archaeosporales; Ambisporaceae
Description: partial contains 5.8S ribosomal RNA and internal transcribed spacer 2
Rfam family: 5.8S ribosomal RNA (bases 1-71)
Source: RNAcentral
GUGAAUCAUCAAAUCUUUGAACGCAUAUUGCACUCUCUGGUAUUCCGGAGAGUAUGCCUGUUUGAGGGUAAUUAAAAAGAAUCUUUACCAAUUUUUUUGGUCAAAGGAGAUGAGUUCUGCGCGUGUAUAGCGGUAGCUUGAGAUAAGUGGUAGUCUCAUUUUAGUCGAGACGCGUAAUAAUAUUAUUUCGCGAAAUCUUCAAUAUGUAACUAUCAAGUGUUGAUGCAUUCAAAUUUGGA